Molecule: ribosomal RNA, 460 nt
Filed under: uncultured bacterium
Lineage: Bacteria
Description: partial 16S ribosomal RNA
Rfam family: Bacterial small subunit ribosomal RNA
Source: RNAcentral
CCUACGGGGGGCUGCAGUGAGGAAUAUUGGUCAAUGGACGCGAGCCUGAACCAGCCAAGUAGCGUGAAGGAUGACUGCCCUACGGGUUUUAAACUUCUUUUAUAAAGGAAUAAAGUGAGCCACGUGUGCGUUUUUGUAUGUACUUUAUGAAUAAGGAUCGGCUAACUCCGUGCCAGCAGCCGCGGUAAUACGGAGGAUCCGAGCGUUAUCCGGAUUUAUUGGGUUUAAAGGGAGCGUAGAUGGGUUGUUAAGUCAGUUGUGAAAGUUUGCGGCUCAACCGUAAAAUUGCAAUUGAUACUGGCAGUCUUGAGUACAGUUGAGGUGGGCGGAAUUCGUGGUGUAGCGGUGAAAUGCUUAGAUAUCACGAAGAACUCCGAUUGCGAAGGCAGUUCACUAAACUGCCACUGACAUUGAUGCUCGAAAGUGUGGGUAUCAAACAGGAUUAGAUACCCGGGUAGUC